RNAcentral lists this ribosomal RNA (253 nucleotides) under uncultured bacterium. Its description in RNAcentral is "partial 16S ribosomal RNA". It matches the Rfam family "Bacterial small subunit ribosomal RNA", at positions 524 to 776 of the family's 1533-position model. The record is from RNAcentral.
UACGAAGGGGGCUAGCGUUGUUCGGAAUUACUGGGCGUAAAGCGCGCGUAGGCGGAUCGAUCAGUCAGGGGUGAAAUCCCAGGGCUCAACCCUGGAACUGCCUUUGAUACUGUCGAUCUGGAGUAUGGAAGAGGUGAGUGGAAUUCCGAGUGUAGAGGUGAAAUUCGUAGAUAUUCGGAGGAACACCAGUGGCGAAGGCGGCUCACUGGUCCAUUACUGACGCUGAGGUGCGAAAGCGUGGGGAGCAAACAGG